GAAGGUAAUAAUCCUGUAGUCGAAAAUGUUGUCUCUCUUGAGUGGAUCCUGAGUACGACGGAGCACGUGAAAUUCCGUCGGAAUCUGGGAGGACCAUCUCCUAAGGCUAAAUACUCUCUAGUGACCGAUAGUGAACCAGUACCGUGAGGGAAAGGUGAAAAGCACCCCGGAAGGGGAGUGAAACAGAACCUGAAACCGUGUGCUUACAAGUAGUCAGAGCCCGUUAAUGGGUGAUGGCGUGCCUUUUGUAGAAUGAACCGGCGAGUUACGAUUUGAUGCAAGGUUAAGCAGUAAAUGUGGAGCCGUAGCGAAAGCGAGUCUGAAUAGGGCGUUUAGUAUUUGGUCGUAGACCCGAAACCAGGUGAUCUACCCUUGGUCAGGUUGAAGUUCAGGUAACACUGAAUGGAGGACCGAACCGACUUACGUUGAAAAGUGAGCGGAUGAACUGAGGGUAGCGGAGAAAUUCCAAUCGAACCUGGAGAUAGCUGGUUCUCUCCGAAAUAGCUUUAGGGCUAGCCUCAAGUGAUGAUUAUUGGAGGUAGAGCACUGUUUGGACGAGGGGCCCCUCUCGGGUUACCGAAUUCAGACAAACUCCGAAUGCCAAUUAAUUUAACUUGGGAGUCAGAACAUGGGUGAUAAGGUCCGUGUUCGAAAGGGAAACAGCCCAGACCACCAGCUAAGGUCCCAAAAUAUAUGUUAAGUGGAAAAGGAUGUGGCGUUGCCCAGACAACUAGGAUGUUGGCUUAGAAGCAGCCAUCAUUUAAAGAGUGCGUAAUAGCUCACUAGUCGAGUGACACUGCGCCGAAAAUGUACCGGGGCUAAACAUAUUACCGAAGCUGUGGAUUGUCCUUUGGACAAUGGUAGGAGAGCGUUCUAAGGGCGUUGAAGCAUGAUCGUAAGGACAUGUGGAGCGCUUAGAAGUGAGAAUGCCGGUGUGAGUAGCGAAAGACGGGUGAGAAUCCCGUCCACCGAUUGACUAAGGUUUCCAGAGGAAGGCUCGUCCGCUCUGGGUUAGUCGGGUCCUAAGCUGAGGCCGACAGGCGUAGGCGAUGGAUAACAGGUUGAUAUUCCUGUACCACCUAUA
This 1084-nucleotide ribosomal RNA is filed under the name Staphylococcus aureus. Its description in RNAcentral is "partial 23S ribosomal RNA". It matches the Rfam family "Bacterial large subunit ribosomal RNA", at positions 360 to 1452 of the family's 2925-position model. The record is from RNAcentral. Lineage: Bacteria; Bacillati; Bacillota; Bacilli; Caryophanales; Staphylococcaceae.